GGCGAGGUGGCGCGGUAACGUAACGGGCGAGGUGGCGCGGUAACGUAACGGGCGAGGUGGCGCGGUAACGUAACGGGCGAGGUGGCGCGGUAACGUAACGGGCGAGGUGGCGCGGUAACGUAACGGGCGAGGUGGCGCGGUAACGAAACGGGCGAGGUGGCGCGGUAACGAAACGGGCGAGGUGGCGCGGUAACGAAACGGGCGAGGUGGCGCGGUAACGUAACGGGCGAGGUGGCGCGGUAACGUAACGGGCGAGGUGGCGCGGUAACGUAACGGGCGAGGUGGCGCGGUAACGUAACGGGCGAGGUGGCGCGGUAACGAAACGGGCGAGGUGGCGCGGUAACGAAACGGGCGAGGUGGCGCGGUAACGUAACGGGCGAGGUGGCGCGGUAACGUAACGGGCGAGGU
This is a long non-coding RNA of Oncorhynchus keta (chum salmon), 408 nucleotides long. RefSeq lists it as uncharacterized. The record is from RefSeq and is a predicted model, not a curated record. Lineage: Eukaryota; Metazoa; Chordata; Actinopteri; Salmoniformes; Salmonidae. The transcript has 4 exons.